This 200-nucleotide long non-coding RNA is filed under the name Homo sapiens (human). Its description in RNAcentral is "HSALNT0070333". The record is from RNAcentral. Lineage: Eukaryota; Metazoa; Chordata; Mammalia; Primates; Hominidae.
AAUCUGGGGCCCUUUUGGCAGAAUGCUAUGCUACUCAUUCCUCACUUUCUUCUCCUCCAUCUGCCCCACUCUCUGUCUCUUAGGAAGACAAGAGCAGCAGGAAGCCCUGAUGGGGAAUGUGGGGAGCACUAGGAAGUGGGAUAGACCCACACCUUGUGGUCUGCAGUUUCCAAACAAUGACACUAUGUCCCCUGACCCAG